CUACGAAAGGAAGUGGACGGGGGCCCGCACAAGCGGUGGAGCAUGUGGUUUAAUUCGAUGAUACGCGAGGAACCUUACCUGGGCUCAAAUGUAUGUUGACGUAUUCUGAAAGGGAUACUUCUUCGGACAAUAUACAAGGUGCUGCAUGGUUGUCGUCAGCUCGUGCCGUGAGGUGUCGGGUUAAGUCCCAUAACGAGCGCAACCCCUAUCAUUAGUUGCCAUCAGGUCAAGCUGGGGACUCUAAUGAAACUGCCUACGCAAGUAGUGAGGAAGGUGGGGAUGACGUCAAAUCAGCACGGCCCUUACGUCCAGGGCUACACACGUGCUACAAUGGUCGGUACAAAGGGUUGCCAAGCCGCGAGGUGGAGCUAAUCCCAUAAAACCGAUCGUAGUCCGGAUCGCAGUCUGCAACUCGACUGCGUGAAGUCGGAAUCGCUAGUAAUCGUGAAUCAGAAUGUCACGGUGAAUACGUUCCCGGGCCUU
This 483-nucleotide ribosomal RNA is filed under the name uncultured Sphingobacteriales bacterium. RNAcentral describes it as "bacterial SSU rRNA". It matches the Rfam family "Bacterial small subunit ribosomal RNA", at positions 903 to 1382 of the family's 1533-position model. Lineage: Bacteria; Pseudomonadati; Bacteroidota; Sphingobacteriia; Sphingobacteriales. The record is from RNAcentral.